GCACCAGUGGUUUAGUGGUAAAAUCCAUCGUUGCCAUAAGUUGUAUCGAUGGGCCCCGUGUUCGAUUCACGGCUGGUGCA
Molecule: transfer RNA, 80 nt
Filed under: Blumeria hordei DH14
Lineage: Eukaryota; Fungi; Ascomycota; Leotiomycetes; Helotiales; Erysiphaceae
Description: tRNA-Gly for anticodon GCC
Rfam family: tRNA
About the family: Transfer RNA (tRNA) molecules are approximately 80 nucleotides in length. Their secondary structure includes four short double-helical elements and three loops (D, anti-codon, and T loops).
Source: RNAcentral